RNAcentral lists this transfer RNA (75 nucleotides) under Candidatus Onthousia faecavium. RNAcentral's name for it is "tRNA-Gln". It matches the Rfam family "tRNA". Rfam says of the family: Transfer RNA (tRNA) molecules are approximately 80 nucleotides in length. Their secondary structure includes four short double-helical elements and three loops (D, anti-codon, and T loops). The record is from RNAcentral. Lineage: Bacteria; Bacillati; Bacillota; Bacilli.
UGCCCCAUAGCCAAGUGGUAAGGCAGUGCGCUCUGACCGCAUUAUGCGUUAGUUCGAAUCUAACUGGGGCAGCCA